RNAcentral lists this ribosomal RNA (319 nucleotides) under uncultured eukaryote. RNAcentral's name for it is "partial 18S ribosomal RNA". It matches the Rfam family "Eukaryotic small subunit ribosomal RNA", at positions 1470 to 1796 of the family's 1831-position model. The record is from RNAcentral.
CCCUUAGAUGUUCUGGGCCGCACGCGCGCUACACUGAAGCGUUCAACGAGUAUUCACCUUGCCCGGGAGGGUUGGGUAAUCUUUUGAAAACGCUUCGUGAUGGGGAUAGAUUAUUGCAAUUAUUAAUCUUCAACGAGGAAUUCCUAGUAGGCGCGAGUCAUCAGCUCGUGCUGAUUACGUCCCUGCCCUUUGUACACACCGCCCGUCGCUGCAACUGAUUGGGUGACCUGGUGAACAUCUUGGACCGGUCCACUCAAUUUCGAGAGGACUGGAAAAGGCCGUAAAUCAGGUACAUCUAGAAAUUGCAAAAGUCGUAACA